GAUGAACGCUGGCGGCGUGCCUAAUACAUGCAAGUCGAACGAAACUUCUUUAUCACCGAGUGCUUGCACUCACCGAUAAAGAGUUGAGUGGCGAACGGGUGAGUAACACGUGGGCAACCUGCCCAAAAGAGGGGGAUAACACUUGGAAACAGGUGCUAAUACCGCAUAACCAUAGUUACCGCAUGGUAACUAUGUAAAAGGUGGCUAUACUACCGCUUUUGGAUGGGCCCGCGGCGCAUUAGCCAGUUGGUAGGGUAAAGGCUUACCAAGGCAAUGAUGCGUAGCCGAAUUGAGAGGUUGAUCGGCCACAUUGGGACUGAGACACGGCCCAAACUCCUACGGGAGGCAGCAGUAGGGAAUCUUCCACAAUGGGCGAAAGCCUGAUGGAGCAACGCCGCGUGGGUGAAGAAGGUCUUCGGAUCGUAAAACUCUGUUAUUAGAGAAGAACGUGCGUGAGAGUAACUGUUCACGUUUCGACGGUAUCUAACCAGAAAGCCACUGCUAACUACGUG
RNAcentral lists this ribosomal RNA (512 nucleotides) under uncultured bacterium. RNAcentral describes it as "partial 16S ribosomal RNA". It matches the Rfam family "Bacterial small subunit ribosomal RNA", at positions 28 to 507 of the family's 1533-position model. The record is from RNAcentral.